UACGUAGGUGGCGAGCGUUGUCCGGAUUUAUUGGGUUUAAAGGGUGCGUAGGCGGCCUAUUAAGUCAGUGCUGAAAUAUCACAGCUUAACUGUGAGGGUGGCAUUGAUACUGGUAGGCUUGAGUGAAGUCGAGGUAGGCGGAAUUGACGGUGUAGCGGUGAAAUGCUUAGAUAUCGUCAAGAACACCGAUAGUGAAGACAGCUUACUAGGCUUAAACUGACGCUGAGGCACGAAAGUGUGGGGAUCAAACAGG
This 253-nucleotide ribosomal RNA is filed under the name uncultured bacterium. Its description in RNAcentral is "partial 16S ribosomal RNA". It matches the Rfam family "Bacterial small subunit ribosomal RNA", at positions 524 to 776 of the family's 1533-position model. The record is from RNAcentral.